Molecule: ribosomal RNA, 484 nt
Filed under: uncultured bacterium
Lineage: Bacteria
Description: partial 16S ribosomal RNA
Rfam family: Bacterial small subunit ribosomal RNA
Source: RNAcentral
AUUGAACGCUGGCGGCAGGCCUAACACAUGCAAGUCGAGCGGAUGAAGGGAGCUUGCUCCUGGAUUCAGCGGCGGACGGGUGAGUAAUGCCUAGGAAUCUGCCUGGUAGUGGGGGAUAACGUCCGGAAACGGGCGCUAAUACCGCAUACGUCCUGAGGGAGAAAGUGGGGGGUCUUCGGACCUCACGCUAUCAGAUGAGCCUAGGUCGGAUUAGCUAGUUGGUGGGGUAAAGGCCUACCAAGGCGACGAUCCGUAACUGGUCUGAGAGGAUGAUCAGUCACACUGGAACUGAGACACGGUCCAGACUCCUACGGGAGGCAGCAGUGGGGAAUAUUGGACAAUGGGCGAAAGCCUGAUCCAGCCAUGCCGCGUGUGCGAAGAAGGUCUUCGGAUUGUAAAGCACUUUAAGUUGGGAGGAAGGGCAGUAAGUUAAUACCUUGCUGUUUUGACGUUACCAACAGAAUAAGCACCGGCUAACUUCGUG